This is a long non-coding RNA of Anguilla rostrata (American eel), 1089 nucleotides long. RefSeq lists it as uncharacterized. Lineage: Eukaryota; Metazoa; Chordata; Actinopteri; Anguilliformes; Anguillidae. The transcript has 2 exons. The record is from RefSeq and is a predicted model, not a curated record.
GUCUCCAGCUCCAAAAGCCCUCAACCCUUGCUGCUGAUAGAGCUUCACAAAAGAGAUGCAACGAGCCGGUCCUGCUGAUUCUGUACACAGGCGUGUUCUCCACCAGCAGGUAUGCAGUGCUGUUGACCACUAAUGUCUUGAUGUUACUUGAUGUCUGCUUGGAGUCCCAUUCCCACUUCGGAGGACAACCUGUCUCUGAUCUGCAAGGUAACGUGGCAUCCGAUCCACGCAGUACCUGGACGACUUCACGUUGUGGAACAAACAUUAAAAUAGUUUCCACGCAUUCACAAAUAAUUCAGCCAAAUACACAACCAACCAAUUCUUGAAAUCAGAUGGAAAUAUUAUGCCCUUCUACACCCGAAAACUUUUCACAAGAGAUGAUCAUUACUCUGAAACAGCCCUGCUAUGUAACCGUUUUGAUUGUCAGAUGUUAACUUACCUUUUGCAAAAACAGGAGUAUAUCCUGGUGUAAGAAACAACAAAAUCCAGCAACCAAUGGAAAAAUGAUGAAUCAUUGUUCAAUAUUGAAGGUUGCGUCUGAUGGUGUCAGGGAUUAUUGCUUAUGAGCAAAGCAGAGUGGAACUCCAUAUCAUGCUUCCUCUCAGCAAGGAGGUGGGUGCAGUGAUAUCAUUUCACCCUGUAAGAGAUAUAUAUAUAUAUAUAUGUAUACGUCACAGAAGGAAGCUAACCUUAGCCACCAACUGUGGGAUAGUCGCUUCCUUUUGUCACUCAGUAAAGCAAACAAAAAAACUCAAGUCCAGUUAGAAAGAGCCUGCUUGUCAUCAUUUGAUUUCAAAAGCAAAGUAUAAUUUAUUAAAAUGUGCAGUACCCUUCCUUCAGUUAUUGUAUUUCCUUAUUGUAUUUGUAAUUGUAUUUAUUUUUUGGUUCAUAGUUGCUGCUUAAAAUUUUUAAUUUUUAACUUCAUGGGGCCAUGAGGGUGAUUGCAUCUCCAACACAACAUUCAUCCUCGCGACAAAGUGCAUUUAGCUCCACCAAGUGCGGAAUGUUCCAUUGAAUAGAACCCGGACCUCCUAUGGCGAGAAGAAAUAAUGAAGUAUAAAGACUAAGCUAAAAUUAGAAGCAAAACCA